UACGUAGGGUGCAAGCGUUGUCCGGAAUUAUUGGGCGUAAAGAGCUUGUAGGCGGUUUGUCGCGUCUGCUGUGAAAUUUCGGGGCUCAACCCGGAACUUGCAGUGGGUACGGGCAGACUAGAGUGUGGUAGGGGAGACUGGAAUUCCUGGUGUAGCGGUGAAAUGCGCAGAUAUCAGGAGGAACACCGAUGGCGAAGGCGGGUCUCUGGGCCACUACUGACGCUGAGGAGCGAAAGCGUGGGGAGCGAACAGG
This 253-nucleotide ribosomal RNA is filed under the name uncultured bacterium. RNAcentral describes it as "partial 16S ribosomal RNA". It matches the Rfam family "Bacterial small subunit ribosomal RNA", at positions 524 to 776 of the family's 1533-position model. The record is from RNAcentral.